Molecule: long non-coding RNA, 253 nt
Filed under: Lathyrus oleraceus (garden pea)
Lineage: Eukaryota; Viridiplantae; Streptophyta; Magnoliopsida; Fabales; Fabaceae
Description: Pisum sativum (pea) long non-coding RNA (PSAT_LNC039670)
Source: RNAcentral
UGGAGGAAGAAAGCACUGAAGGAGAGGAUGAUCCUUUGGUUCAUCUGGUUAAACCUAGCGUAGCUGAGAAACUGAGAACUAAGAAAGGAAAAAGUAUGGCUAAAAUGAGAGCUGCUAGAGUGAAAAAGACUGCAGGAGUAGGACCCUCAAAAUCCUGGAGCAAGGUUGAGGUUGGAAAAAGAAAAGAAAGAGACAGCUCUGAUUCUGAGGAGAAUGUUAAAGACGAUGUCCCAGACAUCUCCCCUGCAAAAAG